RNAcentral lists this ribosomal RNA (253 nucleotides) under uncultured bacterium. RNAcentral's name for it is "partial 16S ribosomal RNA". It matches the Rfam family "Bacterial small subunit ribosomal RNA", at positions 524 to 776 of the family's 1533-position model. The record is from RNAcentral.
UACAGAGGUCCCAAGCGUUGUCCGGAUUCACUGGGCGUAAAGGGUGCGUAGGUGGUGAGGUAAGUCGGAUGUGAAAUCUCCGAGCUCAACUCGGAAAUGGCAUUGGAAACUACCUUGCUAGAGGAUUGGAGGGGAGACUGGAAUGCUUGGUGUAGCAGUGAAAUGCGUAGAUAUCAAGCGGAACACCAGUGGCGAAGGCGAGUCUCUGGACAAUUCCUGACACUGAGGCACGAAAGCCAGGGGAGCAAACGGG